UGUGAGAUUCUAAAUACACAA
RNAcentral lists this non-coding RNA (21 nucleotides) under Caenorhabditis elegans. The record is from RNAcentral. Lineage: Eukaryota; Metazoa; Nematoda; Chromadorea; Rhabditida; Rhabditidae.